GUCAAGUCAUCAUGGCCCUUAUGUCCAGGGCUACACACGUGCUACAAUGGGCGGUACAGAGCGAAGCGAGUCCGCAAGGGCCAAGCGAAUCGCGGAAAGCCGCCCGUAGUCCGGAUUGAAGUCUGAAACCCGACUUCAUGAAGCUGGAAUCGCUAGUAAUCGCGCAUCAGCAUGGCGCGGUGAAUACGUUCCCGGGCCUU
RNAcentral lists this ribosomal RNA (200 nucleotides) under uncultured prokaryote. RNAcentral describes it as "partial 16S ribosomal RNA". It matches the Rfam family "Bacterial small subunit ribosomal RNA", at positions 1184 to 1382 of the family's 1533-position model. The record is from RNAcentral.